UCUGAAGUGUGGAAAAUUAAUAUGUGAAUAUACAAGCGAGCCUAUAAUUAAUAUUCCAAAUGCCUCUGCUACUUAUAUCAACGUGAGUGGACAUUGCUGUGUCACGCUGGAGUUUCCAUAUAAUGAUAAAGACAGCACAAAAAUGUGGGUGAGAGAUGGAACUGUUUGUGAUUCAAAUAAGGCUUGCAGGAAUAAGGAAUGUGUAGAUGUUGGAUUCCUGGGCUAUGACUGUACUGCAGAAAAAUGCAAUUCUCAUGGUAUAUGCAAUAAUAAAAAACACUGUCACUGUAACCCCACAUACUUACCUCCAAAUUGCCAACUUGCUCAAGAUGCAUGGCCUGGUGGAAGUAUUGACA
Non-coding RNA from Manis javanica (Malayan pangolin), 356 nucleotides. NCBI's taxonomy places the organism in Eukaryota, Metazoa, Chordata, Mammalia, Pholidota, Manidae. The record is from RefSeq and is a predicted model, not a curated record.